UGGGAUGUCGCCAAGCGGUAAGGCAACGGUUUUUGGUACCGUUAUGCGGAGGUUCGAUUCCUCCCAUCCCAG
Molecule: transfer RNA, 72 nt
Filed under: Anaplasma phagocytophilum
Lineage: Bacteria; Pseudomonadati; Pseudomonadota; Alphaproteobacteria; Rickettsiales; Anaplasmataceae
Also listed under: 20 other names
Rfam family: tRNA
About the family: Transfer RNA (tRNA) molecules are approximately 80 nucleotides in length. Their secondary structure includes four short double-helical elements and three loops (D, anti-codon, and T loops).
Source: Rfam by way of RNAcentral